This 441-nucleotide ribosomal RNA is filed under the name uncultured bacterium. Its description in RNAcentral is "partial 16S ribosomal RNA". It matches the Rfam family "Bacterial small subunit ribosomal RNA", at positions 338 to 795 of the family's 1533-position model. The record is from RNAcentral.
CCUACGGGAGGCAGCAGUGGGGAAUAUUGCACAAUGGGGGAAACCCUGAUGCAGCGACGCCGCGUGAGUGAAGAAGUAUUUCGGUAUGUAAAGCUCUAUCAGCAGGGAAGAAGAAAGACGGUACCUGACUAAGAAGCCACGGCUAAAUACGUGCCAGCAGCCGCGGUCAUACGGAGGGGGCAAGCGUUAUCCGGAUUUACUGGGGGUAAAGGGAGCGUAGACGGGUGUGCAAGUCUGAAGUGAAAGCCCAGGGCUCAACCCUGGGACUGCUUUGGAAACUGUGGAGCUAGAGUGCUGGAGAGGUAAGUGGAAGUCGUGGUGUAGCGGUGAAAUGCGUAGAUAUUAGGAGGAACACCGGUGGCGAAGGCAGCUUACUGGACAGUAACUGACGUUGAGGCUCGAAAGCGUGGGGAGCAAACAGGAUUAGAUACCCGUGUAGUC